Long non-coding RNA from Cyanistes caeruleus (blue tit), 2808 nucleotides. The record is from Ensembl. NCBI's taxonomy places the organism in Eukaryota, Metazoa, Chordata, Aves, Passeriformes, Paridae.
GCUGGAGUGUUUUGCACAUUUUGGUUCCAAUUUGCACGGAAGCAUACAUCACACCGGGGACAAUGCUACACCUAAUUUACGGCAGCAAAUGAGACCAAUUAAAAACAACUCAGUAAAAAUUACACUGAAUCUUCAAUUACUUGGGGAGAUGAGGAGCAGGACAUUCUGUAAUUGACUUGUUCAUCUUCUCGUCCUCUAAACGAGGCCCUAGCCAGGGUAGGUCCCAAGCUGGUGGCCAUUUCACCACAGGUUCCACUCUCUGACCACUAUCAAUCACACACUGUGCCUUGAGUUUUCAGGUUGGAUGAAGGUUAUUAUCUGUAUCUGUGGGAGAGUGGGAAGAUGGGACAUUUUUUCCAUCAGAAAUGCAGUUUUCUUCCAGCUCUGCUGCUCCUGGUGUGCUCUGACACCUCCUGCUGACACCUCACACACGGCUCUGGAUGGUUAUUAGGAUGAAGAAAAAAGCAGUUGCCUGCUUCGAAAAUAAAUGGAAUAGAAUCACGAAGGUUGGAAAAGAUCCUCAAGAUCAUCGAGUCCAUAAAGCUGGCAGUGCCACCAAGCCACGUCCCUGAGCACCACAUCCUUCAAACACCCUUGGAAAUCAGGUGGCACCAGACUCAGUGUGCUAAAUUCAUCUCUGGCAGUGGAAGGGGCAUCGCUGGUGCCACUGAAUCCCCGGAUUUCAGUGGGAAUGCACAGCUCCAACCCAGGCCCUGCUGCCCCCUCUCCUCACUCACAGCUGGAUUUGUUUUGAUGAACAGCAAUCAGCUGCUGCUGGUAAUGCCAAGCCUGCAGCCCUCGGUGCUGAGUGAGGAGUGGGACCUGCACAUCACCCCCCGAGCGCGCCGGCUCUGCCGCGUGCACCGCCGCUGCCGUCCGUGCUGGAGCUCCAGAGCUGCUCAAACAUCCCACCUCCCCUGGAACCAUCCCACCUCCCUGGAGCCAUCCCACCUCCCUGGAACCAUCCCACCUCCCCUGGAGCCAUCCACCUCCCGUGGAACCAUCCACCUCCCUGGAACCAUCCACCUCCCCUGGAGCCAUCCACCUCCCGUGGAACCAUCCACCUCCCCUGGAGCCAUCCCACCUCCCCUGGAACCAUCCCACCUCCCUGGAGCCAUCCCACCUCCCCUGGAACCAUCCACCUCCCCUGGAACCAUCCCACCUCCCGUGGAACCAUCCACCUCCCGUGGAACCAUCCACCUCCCCUGGAACCAUCCCACCUCCCGUGGAACCAUCCACCUCCCCUGGAACCAUCCCACCUCCCCUGGAACCAUCCCACCUCCUGUGGAACCAUCCCACCUCCCGUGGCAGCAGGGCCAGGGGAGAAUGUUUGAGUUAUUCUUUGGUGGCUUUGAGGGUUUGUGUGCCUGGAAACCAGCAGAGAUGGCGAGAACCAGAGCUCGCUCCUGUUGGGACCUGCUGAAGGACAGAGCUGGGUGGAAGGAGGACAAACAAUCAGUUGAAGAGAAUGGCAGCUCUUGUGUCUCCAGGAGAGGAAUGGCUUCACUCAGAGGUGGUGUGUGUGCUCCAGGCAGAGCAGGACCAGAGGCUCAGGGAUUGCAAAGCAGAGGAGCAGCUCCUGCAGCCUCAGGGGCACUGGGGGCUCCCAGCCUGGACUUUGCUUUGGGCUCCACACGAAGGGAAGCUGAGCCAGCCCCGGAUCCAGCCUGGAAACCCUAACCCAGAGAGGAGGGAUGAUGCUGGAGUUCAGUAAAUGUGGAGCUGCUGAAGGCAGGGGUGAACUGACAGCGAGGACAGAGCCAGAGCAGCCUGACCUUGGGCAGUGAUAAGGAUCCAACCCUCACUGUUUCCUUUGGGUCUCUGUUUCUGACCUCUGCCCCCUUUUAGCAGUUCAUUAAAGCUUUGUGUCGAGCUGACAUUCCCAGCUCCUGCCAGGAAUCCGCUGUUCCUUAUUCUGGAUCCGGUGAAUACCGAGUCAGAUAACAUCAGGGAAGGAGCACUGGUGUUUAUGGCAUUACAGGAUAGCUCUGUCUCACUGAAAAUUGCACUUCCAUUUCCACGAACACCCAGGGAAUAUUCUGGGUUUAUUUUAACCCCUUCCUAGCACAGCCCCAGCAUGUGUGUACAGCUCGGGCACAGGCUCUGUGGAGAGACGGAGCUGAGGGAUCAAUAGAACCCAAAGAAUAUCAAUACCUGUCGGGGAGAGGGCUCUGAGCACUCUGUGCCCAUUGCAAUUAUCCACUGCUGAAGCUUUCAGGUGUCCUCCAGUGUUCCCAGCCUUCACCGAGCUCUGGCAGCAGGGCAUGCAGCAGGUGAGAGCUGUGGCUCCCUGCUCCUGCUGGAAGCACCAGGAAUCUUUGCUGGGUGCUGCCUGCUCGCUCCCCAGGCAAUGCCAGAGGUGACAACGCCUGGGUGCUGGCCCUGUGUGGCCCCAGUGAGUCCCAGCAGGGGAAGCCUCCAGGGCAGAGACCCCGAGCUGAGUGCUGCCCUUCCCACCCUGCCUGGGAUGUUGGGGGGCUCCAGACCCCCCAGCCCUGCUGGGUCCUGGGAUGAGCACCAGCCUCACACUUUGGGAAGGGCAGACAGCUCUCUGCACAGCCUGGCUGGAGUGCAGGACACAGACAGUUAUUAAAUAAUGUUCUGUGCCUGAUUCUAAUGACAGAAACGGCACUUGCAAUCUCCAGGUGGAUCUGACCAUCCGUCAUCUGCAGUUAUUAAGUUGCUGGGAGAGAUGAGAGCAAGAGUGCAUUGAGCCCCUGCCAUUUAUAAGCCCAAUUACCAAACCAUUUCUGUCCAAGCACAGAGCUUGUCAAGCCUAAGUGAGAAUAAACACUGCAGGGAGGAGCA